Molecule: ribosomal RNA, 556 nt
Filed under: uncultured Acidobacteriota bacterium
Lineage: Bacteria; Pseudomonadati; Acidobacteriota
Description: bacterial SSU rRNA
Rfam family: Bacterial small subunit ribosomal RNA
Source: RNAcentral
AGAGUUUGAUCCUGGCUCAGAAUCAACGUUGGCGGCGUGCCUAACACAUGCAAGUCGAACGAGAAAGUCCCCGCAAGGGGAUGAGUACAGUGGCGAACGGGUGAGUAACACGUGACUAACCUACCCUCGAGUGGGGGAUAACUCCGGGAAACCGGGGCUAAUACCGCGUAAUACCUUCGGUUGAGAUGCCGGACGGUCAUAGCAGCAAUGCGCUCGAGGAGGGGGUCGCGCCUGAUUAGCUAGUUGGUGAGGUAACGGCUCACCAAGGCUGUGAUCAGUAGCCGGCCUGAGAGGGCGCACGGCCACACUGGAACUGAAACACGGUCCAGACUCCUACGGGAGGCAGCAGUGGGGAAUUUUGCGCAAUGGGGGAAACCCCGACGCAGCAACGCCGCGUGGAGGAUGAAGUCCCUUGGGACGUAAACUCCUUUCGACCGGGACGAUUAUGACGGUACCGGUGGAAGAAGCCCCGGCUAACUUCGUGCCAGCAGCCGCGGUAAUACGAGGGGGGCAAGCGUUGUUCGGAAUUAUUGGGCGUAAAGGGCGCGUAGGCGGU